UUUUAAGUAGCUUAUUUAAAGCAAUACACUGAAGAUGUAUAUAAAAUUCUUGUUAAUUCUUAAUUA
This 66-nucleotide transfer RNA is filed under the name Bathynella cf. rufa JHS-2017. RNAcentral describes it as "tRNA-Phe". The record is from RNAcentral. Lineage: Eukaryota; Metazoa; Arthropoda; Malacostraca; Bathynellacea; Bathynellidae.